This is a long non-coding RNA of Drosophila serrata, 612 nucleotides long. RefSeq lists it as uncharacterized. The record is from RefSeq and is a predicted model, not a curated record. NCBI's taxonomy places the organism in Eukaryota, Metazoa, Arthropoda, Insecta, Diptera, Drosophilidae.
CAUAUUUAUGUUAAUUCUCUUCCUUCAAUCAUAAAUACUCAUAAAAAUAUAAAAGUCAAUACUUAAACUGCUAGAUUAUAUUUAAUAAUAAUGGAUAUAGAUCCUUCAGAGACCUAUUUAGAGAAGUUAAAAAAGACGGGAACCUGGCUUAACCCCUUCCGACUUGCAAGAUACGUUUUUGAGAAAGGUCAAUCCCUUGCCAAUUCUUUUGCAAGGAUUGCAACCUCUUGGCAAUAAGUUCAAUUAUAAUCCUACCAGGACAGUUCUUAGAGUUUGUUAAAUGGGAAAGCGGAUAUCCCAUAUUCAUUGAUCAAAUGCUACUGUCCCGUUGUUGUUACUAUUAUUUGCUUGUUAAUGUUUAACUAAGAGAUGCAAGGCAUCAGAGAAAUGUUAUUAGUUAUACCCGGCAGCCCAGUUGUUUCUGCCUUCAUUCUGUAUUUUCUUGAUCAACAAAAUUGAAGGUGAUAUCAAUGGACAGGGACUACGAAGGAUGCAUUAUUUCUUUCUUGUGACUGAGUCUAUUUAUUAUCUGACUGAAUUUGUCUCAGGUGGUCCAGCCGCAAUAACUUAAAUUAUAUUCAAAAUUUUAAAAAUAAAUGUAUUAGGAUUAAA